AUGGCAAUGAUGCAAAAGGAGCCAUUAAGCCCUGUCUUACAUGUGGGUGCACUUUUGGUCUCAGGUCAGUCCUAUGACAUGAAUUCUGCUGUAGCAUGGAGGUGGACAGACCCUUCUUCUCAUGACUGCAUUUGCUCUCCAGCUCUUCAACACAACAAGGAAUUCAACCCACUUCUGGAAGAAAUCAGUGGGCCUUCGUGGCAGAUGUAUGAAAUUCCAAGGAUGAAAAAUGCUUUCGGAAGCUGUGAAAGUGUAUCUGCUAUGCAGCAAGUGAUCUCAUAUAUCCAAUAUACUUUUAUGUUACGAAUUUCCUACAGAGGUAAGGCAUGGGCAUGCAAAUAUCCUGAGAUGGAUGAGGGAGAGGAACCAUGGUGUCUCUCACUCUGGAUGAUGAGAUGAUUCACUAGAUGAUUCACUCGUUCCUUCUUAUCUUUUGUGAAACUAUCCCUGAUGGUUUUUUGUUUCUUUCUUUCUUUCUUUUCUUGCAAGCACUCAAGCCAAAACAUGUAGUUGCCAUGCAGAUAUGAGAUGUCACCAGAUUUGUUUUGACUUAUGUACUUUCUUUAGUUCAGUUGACAUAACCAAACUGCUAAAUAAAUGACUUCUGGAACUAACCA
Molecule: long non-coding RNA, 617 nt
Filed under: Anser cygnoides (Swan goose)
Lineage: Eukaryota; Metazoa; Chordata; Aves; Anseriformes; Anatidae
Description: lncRNA (ENSACDG00005009264.1)
Source: RNAcentral